RNAcentral lists this ribosomal RNA (270 nucleotides) under uncultured archaeon. RNAcentral's name for it is "partial 16S ribosomal RNA". It matches the Rfam family "Archaeal small subunit ribosomal RNA", at positions 477 to 747 of the family's 1478-position model. The record is from RNAcentral.
CAGCACCUCAAGUGGUCAGGAUGAUUAUUGGGCCUAAAGCAUCCGUAGCCGGCUCUGUAAGUUUUCGGUUAAAUCUGUAUGCUCAACAUACAGGCUGCCGGGAAUACUGCAGAGCUAGGGAGUGGGAGAGGUAGACGGUGCUCGGUAGGAAGGGGUAAAAUCCUUUGAUCUAUUGAUGACCACCUGUGGCGAAGGCGGUCUACCAGAACACGUCCGACGGUGAGGGAUGAAAGCUGGGGGAGCAAACCGGAUUAGAUACCCGAGUAGUCC